AGAGAUCAGUGUCUGCCGGAGUCGUUGGGGAAGGCUCCCUGGAAAGUGUCUAGACCUUGAAGAGUUCCUCCUGAAGGACCUGAAGAGCUGAAGAACUUUGAAGAAGAACUUUUUCUGAAAAACUUUGAAAUCAAUUGCAUGUCAUGGGAGACACUGGCAAAGGACCACCCAGAAUGGUGAUGAGGAAGUGAUAUCAACCGCUGGUUUCCUGAGCAGCCCAAAUGUGAAUGUCUCAAUACCUUUUGGGAAAAACCACCCUAACUUGCAUGGCCCCCAACAGAAUCUGACAGUGAUGAAUCAUUGCUGGCCCUUGAGGAACAGGCUUCUAUGCAGGCCUCCAUGCACCCGCCCUAGCUGCCUGCAGCUGCCAAGACUGAUGA
This is a long non-coding RNA of Vombatus ursinus (common wombat), 380 nucleotides long. RefSeq lists it as uncharacterized. The record is from RefSeq and is a predicted model, not a curated record. The transcript is spliced from 4 exons. NCBI's taxonomy places the organism in Eukaryota, Metazoa, Chordata, Mammalia, Diprotodontia, Vombatidae.